UUAUGAUUACCCUGAACGGGGGAUCACUUGGCUCGU
This 36-nucleotide ribosomal RNA is filed under the name Cosmocomoidea ashmeadi. Its description in RNAcentral is "partial 5.8S ribosomal RNA". The record is from RNAcentral. Lineage: Eukaryota; Metazoa; Arthropoda; Insecta; Hymenoptera; Mymaridae.